UACCGAUGGCGAAGNCAGCCCCCUGGGAUAACACUGACGUUCAUGCUNGAAAGCGUGGGUAGCAAACAGGAUUAGAUACCCUGGUAGUCCACGCCCUAAACGAUGUCAAUUAGCUGUUGGGCAACUUGAUUGCUUAGUAGCGUAGCUAACGCGUGAAAUUGACCGCCUGGGGAGUACGGUCGCAAGAUUAAAACUCAAAGGAAUUGACGGGGACCCGCACAAGCGGUGGAUGAUGUGGAUUAAUUCGAUGCAACGCGAAGAACCUUACCUGGUCUUGACAUGUACGGAAUCUCUCAGAGACGGGAGAGUGCCUUCGGGAACCGUAACACAGGUGCUGCAUGGCUGUCGUCAGCUCGUGUCGUGAGAUGUUGGGUUAAGUCCCGCAACGAGCGCAACCCUUGUCAUUAGUUGCCAUCAUUAAGUUGGGCACUCUAACGAGACUGCCGGUGACAAACCGGAGGAAGGUGGGGAUGACGUCAAGUCCUCAUGGCCCUUAUGACCAGGGCUUCACACGUCAUACAAUGGUCGGUACAGAGGGUCGCCAAGCCGCGAGGUGGAGCCAAUCUCACAAAGCCGAUCGUAGUCCGGAUUGCACUCUGCAACUCGAGUGCAUGAAGUCGGAAUCGCUAGUAAUCGCAGGUCAGCAUACUGCGGUGAAUACGUUCCCGGGUCUUGUACACACCGCCCGUCACACCAUGGGAGUGGGGGAUACCAGAAGUAG
RNAcentral lists this ribosomal RNA (721 nucleotides) under uncultured bacterium. Its description in RNAcentral is "bacterial SSU rRNA". It matches the Rfam family "Bacterial small subunit ribosomal RNA", at positions 707 to 1429 of the family's 1533-position model. The record is from RNAcentral.